Molecule: ribosomal RNA, 468 nt
Filed under: uncultured bacterium
Lineage: Bacteria
Description: partial 16S ribosomal RNA
Rfam family: Bacterial small subunit ribosomal RNA
Source: RNAcentral
GACGAACGCUGGCGGCGUGCUUAACACAUGCAAGUCGAACGGAAAGGCCCUGCUUUUGUGGGGUGCUCGAGUGGCGAACGGGUGAUUAACACGUGAGUAACCUGCCCUUGACUUUGGGAUAACUUCAGGAAACUGGGGCUAAUACCGGAUAUGAGCUCCUGCUGCAUGGUGGGGGUUGGAAAGUUUCGGCGGUUGGGGAUGGACUCGCGGCUUAUCAGCUUGUUGGUGGGGUAGUGGCUUACCAAGGCUUUGACGGGUAGCCGGCCUGAGAGGGUGACCGGCCACAUUGGGACUGAGAUACGGCCCAGACUCCUACGGGAGGCAGCAGUGGGGAAUAUUGCACAAUGGGCGGAAGCCUGAUGCAGCAACGCCGCGUGCGGGAUGACGGCCUUCGGGUUGUAAACCGCUUUCGCCUGUGACGAAGCGUGAGUGACGGUAAUGGGUAAAGAAGCACCGGCUAACUACGUG